AUUGAACGCUGGCGGCAGGCCUAACACAUGCAAGUCGAGCGGAUGAAGGGAGCUUGCUCCUGGAUUCAGCGGCGGACGGGUGAGUAAUGCCUAGGAAUCUGCCUGGUAGUGGGGGAUAACGUCCGGAAACGGGCGCUAAUACCGCAUACGUCCAGAGGGAGAACGUGGGGGAUCUUCGGACCUCACGCUAUCAGAUGAGCCUAGGUCGGAUUAGCUAGUUGGUGGGGUAAAGGCCUACCAAGGCGACGAUCCGUAACUGGUCUGAGAGGAUGAUCAGGCACACUGGAACUGAGACACGGUCCAGACUCCUACGGGAGGCAGCAGUGGGGAAUAUUGGACAAUGGGCGAAAGCCUGAUCCAGCCAUGCCGCGUGUGUGAAGAAGGUCUUCGGAUUGUAAAGCACUUUAAGUUGGGAGGAAGAGCAGUAAGUUAAUACCUUGCUGUUUUGACGGUACCAACAGAAUAAGCACCGGCUAACUUCGUG
RNAcentral lists this ribosomal RNA (484 nucleotides) under uncultured bacterium. RNAcentral describes it as "partial 16S ribosomal RNA". It matches the Rfam family "Bacterial small subunit ribosomal RNA", at positions 30 to 507 of the family's 1533-position model. The record is from RNAcentral.